GAUGAACGCUGGCGGCGUGCCUAAUACAUGCAAGUCGAGCGAACGGACGAGAAGCUUGCUUCUCUGAUGUUAGCGGCGGACGGGUGAGUAACACGUGGAUAACCUACCUAUAAGACUGGGAUAACUUCGGGAAACCGGAGCUAAUACCGUAUAAUAUUUUGAACCGCAUGGUUCAAAAGUGAAAGACGGUCUUGCUGGCUCUUAUAGAUGGAUCCGCGCUGCAUUAGCUAGUUGGUAAGGUAACGGCUUACCAAGGCAACGAUGCAUAGCCGACGGGAGAGGGGGAUCGGCCACACUGGAGGUGAGACGCGGUCAAGACUACUACGGGAGGCAGCAGUAGGGAAUCUGCCGCAAUGGGCGAAAGCAUGACGGAGCAACGCCGCGUGAGUGAUGAAAGCCUUCGGUGCGUAAAGCUCUGUUAUUAGGGAAGAACAUAUGUGUAAGGAACUGUGCCGAGCUUGACGGUACCUAAUCAGAAAGUCACGGCUAACUACGUG
This 497-nucleotide ribosomal RNA is filed under the name uncultured bacterium. RNAcentral's name for it is "partial 16S ribosomal RNA". It matches the Rfam family "Bacterial small subunit ribosomal RNA", at positions 28 to 507 of the family's 1533-position model. The record is from RNAcentral.